CGUGGGUAACCUGCCUUAUAGUGGGGGAUAGCCUUCGAAAGGAAGAUUAAUACCGCAUAAGAUUGUAGUAUCGCAUGAUAUAGCAAUUAAAGGAGCAAUCCGCUAUAAGAUGGACCCGCGUCGCAUUAGCUAGUAGGUGAGGUAAUGGCUCACCAAGGCGACGAUGCGUAGCCGACCUGAGAGGGUGAUCGGCCACAUUGGGACUGAGACACGGCCCAGACUCCUACGGGAGGCAGCAUG
Molecule: ribosomal RNA, 240 nt
Filed under: uncultured bacterium
Lineage: Bacteria
Description: partial 16S ribosomal RNA
Rfam family: Bacterial small subunit ribosomal RNA
Source: RNAcentral